CCACCCUUUAUAUGUGGUUUCUAAUCCGGGACAGGACGAUCUUCCACCCGGUUCCUCUAGCGGCUCUGCUCCAGCUUCAGUCUGAGGCUCAUCAGGAGAGCAGCAGCGCCGACUAUGUGGAGUCAAACUGCAUGAGUCGCCUUGACUCUGAAAGUUUGGAUUUGAGGGCUGCAUGGAAACAGUCAACACAAUCCCAACAAAGUAGAACUGAAGCAGUACAUACAUGUUCUUUUAUAGUUUUGAUGUCUGUAGUAUUAAUGUAUCAUGCUGAAAAGAAUACAAAUAAAGUAAACCCACUAAAAGA
This is a long non-coding RNA of Silurus meridionalis, 304 nucleotides long. RefSeq lists it as uncharacterized. The record is from RefSeq and is a predicted model, not a curated record. NCBI's taxonomy places the organism in Eukaryota, Metazoa, Chordata, Actinopteri, Siluriformes, Siluridae. The transcript has 2 exons.